This 253-nucleotide ribosomal RNA is filed under the name uncultured bacterium. RNAcentral's name for it is "partial 16S ribosomal RNA". It matches the Rfam family "Archaeal small subunit ribosomal RNA", at positions 474 to 727 of the family's 1478-position model. The record is from RNAcentral.
UACCAGCACCCCGAGUGGUCUGGACGAUUAUUGGGCCUAAAGCAUCCGUAGCCGGUUUUACAAGUCCUCCGUUAAAUCCAACUGCUUAACAGAUGGGCCGCGGAGGAUACUAUAAGACUAGGAGGCAGGAGAGGCAAGCGGUACUCAGUGGGUAGGGGUAAAAUCCGUUGAUCCAUUGAAGACCACCAGUGGCGAAGGCGGCUUGCCAGAAUGCGCUCGACGGUGAGGGAUGAAAGCUGGGGGAGCAAACCGG